ACUUCCCGGGCCGGAACGAAAAGGAAUUGGGUGUCGAGGACGCCGAUGAACUUUUGGCUUGUGGUUGUGAUGUUGUGUUUGCAAAUUGUCCGGCAAUCCGGACGUGGUAGCUAAGCUACUGUUUUUUCACUUCCUGUAC
Molecule: small RNA, 139 nt
Filed under: Serratia odorifera DSM 4582
Lineage: Bacteria; Pseudomonadati; Pseudomonadota; Gammaproteobacteria; Enterobacterales; Yersiniaceae
Description: GcvB RNA
Rfam family: GcvB RNA
About the family: The gcvB gene encodes a small untranslated RNA involved in expression of the dipeptide and oligopeptide transport systems in Escherichia coli. Included several unknown homologues in alignment (Bateman A pers obs).
Source: RNAcentral